UACGAAGGGUGCAAGCGUUACUCGGAAUUAUUGGGCGUAAAGAGCUUGUAGGCGGUUUGUCGCGUCUGCUGUGAAAAUCCGGGGCUCAACCCCGGACUUGCAGUGGGUACGGGCAGACUAGAGUGUGGUAGGGGAGACUGGAAUUCCUGGUGUAGCGGUGGAAUGCGCAGAUAUCAGGAGGAACACCGAUGGCGAAGGCAGGUCUCUGGGCCAUUACUGACGCUGAGAAGCGAAAGCAUGGGGAGCGAACAGG
Molecule: ribosomal RNA, 253 nt
Filed under: uncultured bacterium
Lineage: Bacteria
Description: partial 16S ribosomal RNA
Rfam family: Bacterial small subunit ribosomal RNA
Source: RNAcentral